Araneus ventricosus is the source of this 86-nucleotide non-coding RNA. The record is from the annotation of a GenBank genome assembly. Lineage: Eukaryota; Metazoa; Arthropoda; Arachnida; Araneae; Araneidae.
GCCACCAUAGCUCAGUGGUUAGACCACGUCAACCAGUCAGUGGUCACGUAAACCAGGGGUCGUGAGUUCAAGCCUCAUUGGUGGCU